CAGCAGCCGCGGUAAUACGAAGGGGGCUAGCGUUGCUCGGAAUUACUGGGCGUAAAGGGAGCGUAGGCGGGUCGUUUAGUCAGAGGUGAAAUCCCGGGGCUCAACCUCGGAACUGCCUUUGAUACUGGCGACCUUGAGUAUGGGAGAGGUAAGUGGAACUCCGAGUGUAGAGGUGAAAUUCGUAGAUAUUCGGAAGAACACCAGUGGCGAAGGCGACUUACUGGCCCAUUACUGACGCUGAGGCUCGAAAGCGUGGGGAGCAAACAGGAUUAGAUACCCGAGUAGUCCCUGUCUCUUAUAC
RNAcentral lists this ribosomal RNA (301 nucleotides) under uncultured bacterium. RNAcentral's name for it is "partial 16S ribosomal RNA". It matches the Rfam family "Bacterial small subunit ribosomal RNA", at positions 509 to 807 of the family's 1533-position model. The record is from RNAcentral.